RNAcentral lists this ribosomal RNA (117 nucleotides) under Colletotrichum acutatum. RNAcentral describes it as "partial 18S ribosomal RNA". It matches the Rfam family "Eukaryotic small subunit ribosomal RNA", at positions 1717 to 1831 of the family's 1831-position model. Lineage: Eukaryota; Fungi; Ascomycota; Sordariomycetes; Glomerellales; Glomerellaceae. The record is from RNAcentral.
GGCCCAGAGAGGUGGGCAACUACCACUCAGGGCCGGAAAGUUAUCCAAACUCGGUCAUUUAGAGGAAGUAAAAGUCGUAACAAGGUCUCCGUUGGUGAACCAGCGGAGGGAUCAUUA